GAAAGAAAAGCAUCGGACGGAUACCUAGACAUAAAAUAGAUGUACGGACGUAAAAAAAUGCGAUAAUGCGUUAAAAUUAUCCUUAAAAAGGUAUUUAAAAUAAAAAUUUGACGAUAUCCGUAGAGAAAACUUUCCUUGAUAAGAUAUCACAAGUAGGAAUUGUUUAUUUAACAAAAUAACUUUGUGAAGUGAAACAUCUCAGUAACAAAAGGAAAAAACAUCAAACGAGAAUUUGUAAGUAGUGGCGAACGAACACAAAAAUGUCCAUAAAAACUAAAAAAAAAUAUAAAAAGGUAAACCAAAGAUAUUUUAAUAUCUUAGGAAUAACUUUUAUCCAACCAAAAAAGAAACCUCUUAGGGUUUCCGUAAGGUACAUAUAUAAAAUUGUGAGUAAAAAGCAACCUAAGAUGGUGAUUAGUCCAGUAUAGUAUAUGUAAAAAAUGGAAAUUAAUGAAGAAAAAAAAAGUAAAACGGCACAUGUGAAAUGCUGUUUGAAAAUUGGGGAACCAUUCUCAAAGGACAAAGAUAUAUUUUAUGAUCCAUAGUGAACGAGUACCGUGAGGGAAAGGUGAGAAAAAAAAAUUGAAAUCCGAAUGUUCAACAAGCAGUUGAAGUCAAAAAAAAUAAACCUAUUAUUUAAAGAACAACAGCGUACCUUUUGUAUAAUGGGCCAGCAAGUUUAGUAGUAUUGGCAAAGCUUUAAAUAACUAAGGCGUAGCGAAAGCGAGUUUGAAAAAUAACAAAAUAUAUAAUGUCAAUAAUCUAAGACCCGAAACUGACUGAUCUAGUUAUGGCCAGGCUGAAACCCGUGUAAAAGUGGUGUGGAGGGCCGAAAGCACGUCUGUGGAAAUAGGCGGCUAUGAGCUGUGACUAGGAGUGAAAGGCUAAUCAAAGUCAGUGAUAGCUGGUUUUCCGCGAAAUCUAUUUAGGUAGAGCGUAUCUUAGAUAAAAAAAAAAUCGUGGGGUAGAGCUCUGUUCAGGAAAGGGGGUGUCAAAACCUACCGACCUUAAGCAAACUUCGAAUACACUAGAGAGAACUAAGAUAUAGACAGUCCAUGGGUGAUAAGAUCCAUGGUCGAGAGGGCAACAGCCCAGAUUGAAAGUUAAGGUCCCAAAAUUUGUUCUAAGUCUAAGGAGGUCUUCAAAUGAAAAGAAUACUAAGGUAGGCCCGGAAGCAGCCAGCCUUAAAACUUCGGAAAGCGUAAUAGCUCACAGACCUAAUUUCUUGGCACUAAAAAUGUAUGGGUUUAAAGAACAAUACCGAAACAACAACUUCUAAUGAUUUUUUUGAUUUAGGGGGGUAGCGGAACUAUCUGUUUUCCAUCGACGAAAUAUUGUAAAAUUAUUUAAGAGGAAUCAGAGUGAUAAUGCUGGCAUGAGUAACGAUAAACUUCAUGAAGAAUUGAAGUCGCCGUAAGCCUAAGGUUUUCUUACACAAUGUUCGACAGUGUAGAGUAAGUUCGGUCUCUAAGUAAAACCUGAAAAGGUUAUAUGAUGAGUAUUCAAUCUUCGGAUUAUCCGAAGGUAAAGUUUUUCGUGGACAGUUUUGAAUAUUUAACUUUUAGUAUUUGGAUAUGAAUUAAUUGUUAAAUUAAAAAUUCUAGAAAAAGCGAAUUAUAUAAAAACCGUACCCUAAACCGACACAGGUAGGCAGGCAUAAAUGUGCUAAGGCGCGUGGGAGAACUGUUUUGAAGGAACUCGGCAAAAAAAACCUCGUAACUUCGGAAUAAGAGGGGCUUAUUUAAAAAUAAGCUACAAAUAACACGGGAUGGCAACUGUUUAAUAAAAACACAGGUCUUUGCUAAUUUGUAAAAAAAUGUAUAAAGGCUGACAACUGCCCGGUGCUGCAAGAUUAACUUAUGAGGAGUUUAGGCUCUCACGGGAAGUCCCAGUAAACGGCGGCGGUAACUCUGACCGUCCUAAGGUAGCGAAAUUCAUUGGCCACUAAUUAUGGUCCUGCAUGAAUGUUGUAAUGACUGUCCCACUGUCUCCAAGACAGACCCAGUGAAAUUGAACUCUCCGUGAAGAUGCGGAGCAUUUUUGUUUAGACGCGAAGACCCUAUCGACCUUUACUACACUUUUAGAUUGUUCUUUAUUCGGUUGUAUUUAGCAUAGAUGGGAGUCGAGGGGUGCCCCUUUGGGCAUGCAUUAUUAUAAUGUAGUUUGAUAGACGCCAGUUUAUCUUAAAGACAACAAGUGAAAUACCAUCUUCAAUACGUUUGAGGACUGAUUCAAUUAGAAUUCAAAGAUCUUUUAUAAAAUGAAAGAAAAAAUCUAUGACUGGUAGUUUAACUGGGGCGGUUGCCUCCUAAAGAGUAACGGAGGCGUACAAAGGUGAGUACCUUACUGUUUAACGGUAACGGAAGUGCAAUGGCAAAAACUUGCUUAACUGCGAGAGAUACAUCUCGAGCAGAAGCUUUUUAUAUUUAUAAAGAGCUGGUCAUAGUGAUCCGAUAACCCAUUAUGGAUUGGUUAUCGCUCAACGAAUAAAAGGUACCGUAGGGAUAACAGGCUAUUCCCCUUUUAGAGUCCCUAUCGAUGAGGGGGUUAGGCACCUCGAUGUCGGCUAAUCACAUCCUGGUGGUGUAGGCGCUGCCAAGGGUUCGACUGUUCGUCGAUUAAAGUGGUACUUGAGCUGGGUUUAGAACGUCGUGAGACAGUUUGGACUCUAUCUAACAAAAAUACCUAAAAAUUAUGAAGAGAGGGCAGAAGUACGCGAGGACGCUGUUCUAUGAAUCCCUGGUUUACUUGUUGUUUUACCAAAAGCAUCGCAAGGUAGCUACAUUCUUUCUGGAUAAUUACUGAAAGCAUCUAAGUAAGAAACCAUCUUCAAAUAUGGAUUUUUAAGUUUUAUCUGAGGGUAUUAUUUUAUCUAAAGAUAUUCUAAUAAAGGUAAAAGACUUCAUUACUUAAAUAGGUCUAAGGCAUAAAAUAAGCAAUUAUUGUACUUAUAGAUACUAA
RNAcentral lists this ribosomal RNA (2961 nucleotides) under Aplanochytrium stocchinoi. RNAcentral describes it as "partial Bacterial large subunit ribosomal RNA". It matches the Rfam family "Bacterial large subunit ribosomal RNA". The record is from RNAcentral. Lineage: Eukaryota; Bigyra; Thraustochytrida; Thraustochytriidae.